CGAACAGUCGCCGUACGAAAGUAUGGAGGAAAGUCCGAACACUCAAGAGCAGGCCGCCGGAUAACGUCCGGUGCGGGUGACCGUGAGGACAGUGCCACAGAAAACAUAACCGCCGAUGACCGUCUUUUGUCGGAACAGGUAAGGGUGCAAUGGUGAGGUAAGAGCUCACCGCAGAUAUCGAGAGGUAUCGGGCAGGUAAACCCCGGCUGAGUGCAAGAUAAAUUGAAGAUUAAGGCUGCUCGCCGCCUUCAGAAAAAUCGCUUGAGCAUACGGGUAACCGUAUCGCCAGACAGAUGACUGUUUAAAACAGAAUUCGGCUUACGGG
This 325-nucleotide RNase P RNA is filed under the name bovine gut metagenome. RNAcentral's name for it is "Bacterial RNase P class A". It matches the Rfam family "Bacterial RNase P class A". Rfam says of the family: Ribonuclease P (RNase P) is a ubiquitous endoribonuclease, found in archaea, bacteria and eukarya as well as chloroplasts and mitochondria. Its best characterised activity is the generation of mature 5'-ends of tRNAs by cleaving the 5'-leader elements of precursor-tRNAs. The record is from RNAcentral.